CCCUUAGACGUUCUGGGCUGCACGCGCGCUACACUGAUGCGAUCAACAAGUUUUUCCUAUGUCGAUAGACACGGGUAAUCUUUUGAACUCGCAUCGUGAUGGGGAUAGAUUAUUGUAAUUAUUAAUCUUCAACGAGGAAUUCCUAGUAGGUGCAAAUCAUCAGUUUGCAUCGAUUACGUCCCUGCCCUUUGUACACACCGCCCGUCGCUGCUACCGAUUGGUUGAUCUGGUGAAUUAUUCGGACUGCCGGCUGAAGGGGUUUCCUCAUCUGCCAGCGGAAAGUCUUGUUAACCCUAUCAACUAGAGGAAGCAGAAGUCGUAACA
This 324-nucleotide ribosomal RNA is filed under the name uncultured eukaryote. RNAcentral's name for it is "partial 18S ribosomal RNA". It matches the Rfam family "Eukaryotic small subunit ribosomal RNA", at positions 1470 to 1796 of the family's 1831-position model. The record is from RNAcentral.